Molecule: ribosomal RNA, 254 nt
Filed under: uncultured bacterium
Lineage: Bacteria
Description: partial 16S ribosomal RNA
Rfam family: Bacterial small subunit ribosomal RNA
Source: RNAcentral
UACGUAGGGCGCAAGCGUUGUCCGGAAUUAUUGGGCGUAAAGAGCUCGUAGGCGGUUUGUCGCGUCUGCUGUGAAAGUCCGAGGCUCAACCUCGGAUCUGCAGUGGGUACGGGCAGACUAGAGUGUGGUAGGGGAGACUGGAAUUCCUGGUGUAGCGGUGGAAUGCGCAGAUAUCAGGAGGAACACCGAUGGCGAAGGCAGGUCACUGGGCCGCAACUGACGCUGGAGGAGCGAAAGCAUGGGGAGCGAACAGG